CUGGCGGCUGCCUUACCAUGCAAGUCGAACGGCAGCACGGGGGCAACCCUGGUGGCGAGUGGCGAACGGGUGAGUAACAUAUCGGAACGUGCCCUGGAGUGGGGGAUAACUAGUCGAAAGACUAGCUAAUACCGCAUACGAUCUACGGAUGAAAGUGGGGGAUCGCAAGACCUCAUGCUCGUGGAGCGGCCGAUAUCUGAUUAGCUAGUUGGUGGGGUAAAGGCCUACCAAGGCAUCGAUCAGUAGCUGGUCUGAGAGGACGACCAGCCACACUGGGACUGAGACACGGCCCAGACUCCUACGGGAGGCAGCAGUGGGGAAUUUUGGACAAUGGGCGCAAGCCUGAUCCAGCAAUGCCGCGUGAGUGAAGAAGGCCUUCGGGUUGUAAAGCUCUUUUGUCAGGGAAGAAACGGUUCGGGCCAAUACCCUGGGCUAAUGACGGUACCUGAAGAAUAAGCACCGGCUAACUACGUGCCAGCAGCCGCGGUAAU
RNAcentral lists this ribosomal RNA (491 nucleotides) under uncultured bacterium. RNAcentral describes it as "bacterial SSU rRNA". It matches the Rfam family "Bacterial small subunit ribosomal RNA", at positions 36 to 524 of the family's 1533-position model. The record is from RNAcentral.